AGAAUGAACGCUGGCGGCGUGCUUUACACAUGCAAGUUGAGCGAGGCCGGUAGCAAUACCGAGUCGAGCGGCGAACGGGUGAGUAACGCGUGGAUAACCUGCCCUGAAGUGGGGAAUAACCCGGGGAAACUCGGGCUAAUACCGCAUGAUACCGAGAGGUCAAAGAGGGAUCGUAAGAUCUCUUGCUACAGGAGGGGUCCGCGUUCGAUUAGCUAGUUGGUAGGGUAAUGGCCUACCAAGGCGACGAUCGAUAGCCGGCCUGAGAGGGUGAUCGGCCACACUGGAACUGAGACACGGUCCAGACUCCUACGGGAGGCAGCAGUGGGAAUUUGCGCAAUGGGCUAACGCCUGACGCAGCAACGCCGCGUGGAGGAUGAAGUCUUUGGAUUGUAAACUCCUGUCAGUCAGGAAAAGCGACUAGACCUAAUACGUCUGGAGUUGAUUGUACCUGCAGAGGAAGCCCGGACUAACUCUGUCGCCAGCAGCCGCGUAAUCUA
RNAcentral lists this ribosomal RNA (497 nucleotides) under uncultured soil bacterium. RNAcentral describes it as "bacterial SSU rRNA". It matches the Rfam family "Bacterial small subunit ribosomal RNA", at positions 26 to 527 of the family's 1533-position model. The record is from RNAcentral.